Molecule: ribosomal RNA, 652 nt
Filed under: uncultured Bacteroidales bacterium
Lineage: Bacteria; Pseudomonadati; Bacteroidota; Bacteroidia; Bacteroidales
Description: bacterial SSU rRNA
Rfam family: Bacterial small subunit ribosomal RNA
Source: RNAcentral
AAAGCUUGCUUUCUUUGCUGGCGACCGGCGCACGGGUGAGUAACACGUAUCCAACCUGCCCUUUACUCGGGGAUAGCCUUUCGAAAGAAAGAUUAAUACCCGAUAGCAUAAUGAUUCCGCAUGGUUUCAUUAUUAAAGGAUUCCGGUAAAGGAUGGGGAUGCGUUCCAUUAGGUUGUUGGUGAGGUAACGGCUCACCAAGCCUUCGAUGGAUAGGGGUUCUGAGAGGAAGGUCCCCCACAUUGGAACUGAGACACGGUCCAAACUCCUACGGGAGGCAGCAGUGAGGAAUAUUGGUCAAUGGGCGCUAGCCUGAACCAGCCAAGUAGCGUGAAGGAUGAAGGCUCUAUGGGUCGUAAACUUCUUUUAUAUAAGAAUAAAGUGCAGUAUGUAUACUGUUUUGUAUGUAUUAUAUGAAUAAGGAUCGGCUAACUCCGUGCCAGCAGCCGCGGUAAUACGGAGGAUCCGAGCGUUAUCCGGAUUUAUUGGGUUUAAAGGGAGCGUAGGUGGACUGGUAAGUCAGUUGUGAAAGUUUGCGGCUCAACCGUAAAAUUGCAGUUGAUACUGUCAGUCUUGAGUACAGUAGAGGUGGGCGGAAUUCGUGGUGUAGCGGUGAAAUGCUUAGAUAUCACGAAGAACUCCGAUUGCGAAGGC